AAGAGUUGCAAAACUCCCACGAACCAUCGCGAACGUUACCCAGACGUCGUUGCUUCGGCGGGCUCGCCCGCCGGGGGGACGCUACCAGACUCUUGCAGUUCUUCGGCCUCUCUGAGUAUGAUUUUUUAAAUAAGUCA
This 137-nucleotide unclassified non-coding RNA is filed under the name soil metagenome. Its description in RNAcentral is "partial internal transcribed spacer 1". The record is from RNAcentral.